UCAGGACGAACGCUGGCGGCGUGCUUCAUACAUGCAAGUCGAACGAGAAGUCACCUUCGGGUGAUGGAAAGUGGCGGACGGGUGAGUAAUGUGUAGAGAAUCUGCCCUUUAGUGGGGGACAACAGUUGGAAACGACUGCUAAUACCCCAUAUGCGCGUAGCUGAGAUGCUAUUCGUGAAAACUCCGGUGCUAAAGGAUGAGUCUGCAUCUGAUUAGCUAGUUGGCGGUGUAAUGGACCACCAAGGCGACGAUCAGUAGCUGGUUUGAGAGGAUGAUCAGCCACAAUGGGACUGAGACACGGCCCAUACUCCUACGGGAGGCAGCAGUAGGGAAUUUUGCGCAAUGGGGGAAACCCUGACGCAAGCAACGCCGCGUGAUUGAAUAAGCCCUUCGGGGUGUAAAGAUCUGUCAGUAGGGACGAAACUUGACGGUACCUACAGAGGAAGCAUCGGCUAACUCCGUGCCAGCAGCUGC
This 474-nucleotide ribosomal RNA is filed under the name uncultured bacterium. RNAcentral describes it as "bacterial SSU rRNA". It matches the Rfam family "Bacterial small subunit ribosomal RNA", at positions 24 to 518 of the family's 1533-position model. The record is from RNAcentral.